Hippoglossus stenolepis (Pacific halibut) is the source of this 684-nucleotide long non-coding RNA. RefSeq lists it as uncharacterized. Lineage: Eukaryota; Metazoa; Chordata; Actinopteri; Pleuronectiformes; Pleuronectidae. The record is from RefSeq and is a predicted model, not a curated record. The transcript has 2 exons.
GCUGUGCUCUCCAGAGGGGGGACGACAGCCCCUCGUUGACGCUCCCCUGGAGGAUAUUAUGAAACUUAACAAGGGGGCUAUUUUAAAUUCCCCAAAGGAUUAUGGAGAAAGCACGUGGCAGGAAGAGGAGGCCCCUGCUCAGAUGUGUCCCCUGACUGAAACCCAAACAUGACCUGGAGGCUAAAAAUAACACAGAGCGAAGAUCAGACCAGAGGAAACUCAGCAACUUUCUUUUCCAGUCUUUCCAACCUGCGUCUACACAGCUGGUGUGUUGACGAACCGGCUUUAGAAACAGCUGGAGCACCUCGACGUGCUUUUAAAACACUCGAACACUCGCACUGAUCAAACUAUGGUACGUGGAGCCAGGUCGAGGUUGAAAACACCAGUCUAAAGUUUGUGACCUGAAAUUACAUAACUUGGCCCAAGGCGGAGCAAAAAUAUCCAGCCUAACAGCCGUCUCCUUUUACAGCUGUGACAUCUCCCGGACGAUCACUGCGUACAUGUCUUUAAAUAUGAUCAAGUCUACUGUUUAGAUACGGAAGGGGAUGUAGCUCAGUGGUAGAGCGCAUGCUUUGCAUGUAUGAGGCCCCGGGUUCAAUCCCCGGCAUCUCCACACUUUUCCUUUUCCGCUUCCGGGGCCGGGAGCUGCUUUCGUUACAGGGAAAUCUGGCAAUAUCGUAAAAA